This 497-nucleotide ribosomal RNA is filed under the name uncultured bacterium. RNAcentral describes it as "partial 16S ribosomal RNA". It matches the Rfam family "Bacterial small subunit ribosomal RNA", at positions 28 to 507 of the family's 1533-position model. The record is from RNAcentral.
GAUGAACGCUGGCGGCGUGCCUAAUACAUGCAAGUCGAACGCUGAAGCUUGGUGCUUGCACCGAGCGGAUGAGUUGCGAACGGGUGAGUAACGCGUAGGUAACCUGCCUCUUAGCGGGGGAUAACUAUUGGAAACGAUAGCUAAUACCGCAUAAAAGUCGAUAUCGCAUGAUAUUGAUUUGAAAGGUGCAAAUGCAUCACUAAGAGAUGGACCUGCGUUGUAUUAGCUAGUUGGUGAGGUAACGGCUCACCAAGGCGACGAUACAUAGCCGACCUGAGAGGGUGAUCGGCCACACUGGGACUGAGACACGGCCCAGACUCCUACGGGAGGCAGCAGUAGGGAAUCUUCGGCAAUGGGGGCAAACCUGACCGAGCAACGCCGCGUGAGUGAAGAAGGUUUUCGGAUCGUAAAGCUCUGUUGUAAGAGAAGAACGAGUGUGAGAGUGGAAAGUUCACACUGUGACGGUAACUUACCAGAAAGGGACGGCUAACUACGUG